GACGAACGCUGGCGGCGUGCCUAAUACAUGCAAGUUGAGCGAUGAAGAUUGGUGCUUGCACCAAUUUGAAGAGCAGCGAACGGGUGAGUAACGCGUGGGGAAUCUGCCUUUGAGCGGGGGACAACAUUUGGAAACGAAUGCUAAUACCGCAUAAUAACUUUAAACAUAAGUUUUAAGUUUGAAAGAUGCAAUUGCAUCACUCAAAGAUGAUCCCGCGUUGUAUUAGCUAGUUGGUGAGGUAAAGGCUCACCAAGGCGAUGAUACAUAGCCGACCUGAGAGGGUGAUCGGCCACAUUGGGACUGAGACACGGCCCAAGCUCCUACGGGAGGCAGCAGUAGGGAAUCUUCGGCAAUGGACGAAAGUCUGACCGAGCAACGCCGCGUGAGUGAAGAAGGGUUUCGGAUCGUAAAACUUUGUUGGUAGAGAAGAACGUUGGUGAGAGUGGAAAGCUCAUCAAGUGACGGUAACUACCCAGAAAGGGACGGCUAACUACGUG
This 497-nucleotide ribosomal RNA is filed under the name uncultured bacterium. RNAcentral describes it as "partial 16S ribosomal RNA". It matches the Rfam family "Bacterial small subunit ribosomal RNA", at positions 28 to 507 of the family's 1533-position model. The record is from RNAcentral.